Molecule: ribosomal RNA, 397 nt
Filed under: uncultured bacterium
Lineage: Bacteria
Description: partial 16S ribosomal RNA
Rfam family: Bacterial small subunit ribosomal RNA
Source: RNAcentral
AAUCUUGCGCAAUGGUCGAAAGCCUGACGCAGCCAUGCCUCGUGAAUUAUGAAGGUCUUAGGUUUGUAAAAUUCUUUCACCGGGGACGAUAAUGCCCGUACCCGGAGAAGAAGCCCCGGCUAACUUCGUGCCAGCAGCCGCGGUAAUACGAAGGGGGCUAGCGUUGCGCGGAAUUACUGGGCGUAAAGGGCGCGUAGGCGGAUCGUUAAGUCAGGGGUGAAAUCCCGGGGCUCAACCUCGGAACUGCCCUUGAUACUGGCGAUCUUGAGUAUGAGAGAGGUAUGUGGAACUCCGAGUAUAGAGGUGAAAUUCGUAGAUAUUCGGAAGAACACCAGUGGCGAAGGCGACAUACUGGCUCAUUACUGACGCUGAGGCGCGAAAGCGUGGGGAGCAAACA